Molecule: long non-coding RNA, 1269 nt
Organism: Pelodiscus sinensis (Chinese soft-shelled turtle)
Lineage: Eukaryota; Metazoa; Chordata; Testudines; Trionychidae
Source: RefSeq, a predicted model, not a curated record
GAUGGCGAGGAAAGUGAACAAGUCGGAGGGGAGGAGGAGGGGAGCUGAGAGCAGAGAGAGAGAAAGACGGACACAUGAGGACUGACCCUUAAAUUGGCAGAUCUAUAGUAAGGCUCAUUGCAAUAGGCAAAGCUAUGAAAGAACAAGCCAGGAAGGAGCAAAACAGCUGGAGAUAGACAGAGGAACUAGUGUAAAACUCUUAGAAAUAUCCAAAGCAAGGCGCCUAAAGGGAAGUAAAGUGAGCUAGGAGAGGGAAUUCAAAGUCGCAUGCCACCAAAGGUAGGGAGGGGAGGUCUAAGAGAUGAUGCAGGUGAGACAAGGGGGAACUCCCUUGCAUCACAUAUACACACAGAGUGAUCUUUAACUGGCUGAGAGAAUCUUCCAGGCCCCAAAAGCUGGCCACCCACUGAGAGCCAUUUCCGACUACACCAGCUGCAGCUUCCUCGCCGGACGCUCCUCGUAGACUAAAAAUGCCCCAUGGAGAAACUGCCUGCAGAAUGAACCCCCGUUUGGGGCAUGGAGCGAUGCAGGGACCAAGCCUGGGGAAGAGGAGGAAGACACUUGCAACAUUCCCAGUGAAGGGAAAGGUGCCAUGAAGCGGACUCAGGCCGCGGUGGAAACAGCUGGAGCUGCGCGUGCUCACAUGGAUACGGGGCUGCACCCUGCUCUGGCUGGUCAAACGGAACCAAGUCCGUCUUCCUUGAAGGUUUGGUCCCCUUCAACCAGCUACAGCAGUGCUGAAAUCGUCCAGCUGUUGGAGGAAGAUACUCUCUGCCUAUCAACUCACCCACAUGGGACUUUCCUCCGGUGUUUGAUGCUAGUCAGCAUGUUCCACAUACAGUACACAUGGGAGGAGGGUGCUGAUCCUUAUGGGCCAUGUCUUAAGUACACGUGCUGAGCUAGAUACUCAAGUUUAUCUGAGCAAUACUCAAAGCACCUUGCCAAGAAAGCAGUGGCUUUGGAUGGCUUUCUGCCCCCUUUCCCAAUUCUGGGUGGGAAACGGGGGGCUACUUUAACCCACAGCACAAGUGAGAGCAACCUUAAGGCUGUUCUCACUUGCUGUGGCUCAGGAUCACUGAACGCCAACUAUGCCCUUCCAUCUUCUGGCAUGUCAGCAGAAUGCCCCUAUAUACUAUGUGAACCAAGAUCAGCUGGUGUUGUGCUAGCACACUCCUACACAAGAGUAAUUCUCAGUGUCCCAGGGGGGUUUCAGACCCACGGAGCCCACUACAUACUUUCAGUCUGCCUGACUUAUUUUAUAUUUACAGA